CCUACGGGGGGCAGCAGUGGGGAAUAUUGCACAAUGGGGGAAACCCUGAUGCAGCGACGCCGCGUGAGUGAAGAAGGCUCUCUGUGUGUAAAGCUCUAUCAGCAGGGAAGAAAAUGACGGUACGUGAUUAAGAAUCCCCGGCUAACUACGUUCCAGCAGCCGCGGUUAUACGGAGGGGGCCAGCGUUAUCCGGAUUUACUGGGUGUAAUGGGAGCGUAGACGGCAGCACAGGUCUGGAGUGAAAUGGCGGGGCUUAACCCCGGAAGUGCUUUGGAAACUGUGGAGCUAGAGUGCAGGAGAGGUAAGUGGAAUUCGUGGUGUAGCGGUGAAAUGCGUAGAUAUUAGGAGGAACACCAGUGGCGAAGGCGGCUUACUGGACUGUAACUGACGUUGAGGCUCGAAAGCGUGGGUAGCGAACAGGAUUAGAUACCCGGGUAGUC
This 440-nucleotide ribosomal RNA is filed under the name uncultured bacterium. Its description in RNAcentral is "partial 16S ribosomal RNA". It matches the Rfam family "Bacterial small subunit ribosomal RNA", at positions 338 to 795 of the family's 1533-position model. The record is from RNAcentral.